UUUGGUUAAGUUAGAAAGGGCGCACGGUGGAUGCCUUGACACUAGGAGUCGAUGAAGGACGGGACUAACGCCGAUAUGCUUCGGGGAGCUGUAAGUAAGCUUUGAUCCGAAGAUUUCCGAAUGGGGAAACCCACCAUACGUAAUGGUAUGGUAUCCUUAUCUGAAUACAUAGGGUAAGGAAGACAGACCCAGGGAACUGAAACAUCUAAGUACCUGGAGGAAGAGAAAGCAAAUGCGAUUUCCUGAGUAGCGGCGAGCGAAACGGAACAUAGCCCAAACCAAGAGGCUUGCCUCUUGGGGUUGUAGGACAUUCUAUACGGAGUUACAAAGGAACGAGGUAGACGAAGCGACCUGGAAAGGUCCGUCGUAGAGGGUAACAACCCCGUAGUCGAAACUUCGUUCUCUCUUGAAUGUAUCCUGAGUACGGCGGAACACGUGAAAUUCCGUCGGAAUCUGGGAGGACCAUCUCCCAAGGCUAAAUACUCCCUAGUGAUCGAUAGUGAACCAGUACCGUGAGGGAAAGGUGAAAAGCACCCCGGAAGGGGAGUGAAAGAGAUCCUGAAACCGUGUGCCUACAAAUAGUCAGAGCCCGUUAACGGGUGAUGGCGUGCCUUUUGUAGAAUGAACCGGCGAGUUACGAUCCCGUGCGAGGUUAAGCUGAAGAGGCGGAGCCGCAGCGAAAGCGAGUCUGAAUAGGGCGUUUAGUACGUGGUCGUAGACCCGAAACCAGGUGAUCUACCCAUGUCCAGGGUGAAGUUCAGGUAACACUGAAUGGAGGCCCGAACCCACGCACGUUGAAAAGUGCGGGGAUGAGGUGUGGGUAGCGGAGAAAUUCCAAUCGAACCUGGAGAUAGCUGGUUCUCCCCGAAAUAGCUUUAGGGCUAGCCUUAAGUGUAAGAGUCUUGGAGGUAGAGCACUGAUUGGACUAGGGGUCCUCAUCGGAUUACCGAAUUCAGUCAAACUCCGAAUGCCAAUGACUUAUCCUUAGGAGUCAGACUGCGAGUGAUAAGAUCCGUAGUCAAAAGGGAAACAGCCCAGACCGCCAGCUAAGGUCCCAAAGUGUGUAUUAAGUGGAAAAGGAUGUGGAGUUGCUUAGACAACUAGGAUGUUGGCUUAGAAGCAGCCACCAUUUAAAGAGUGCGUAAUAGCUCACUAGUCGAGUGACUCUGCGCCGAAAAUGUACCGGGGCUAAAUACACCACCGAAGCUGCGGAUUGAUACCAAUGGUAUCAGUGGUAGGGGAGCGUUCUAAGGACAGUGAAGUCAGACCGGAAGGACUGGUGGAGUGCUUAGAAGUGAGAAUGCCGGUAUGAGUAGCGAAAGACGGGUGAGAAUCCCGUCCACCGAAUGCCUAAGGUUUCCUGAGGAAGGCUCGUCCGCUCAGGGUUAGUCAGGACCUAAGCCGAGGCCGACAGGCGUAGGCGAUGGACAACAGGUUGAUAUUCCUGUACCACCUCUUUAUCGUUUGAGCAAUGGAGGGACGCAGAAGGAUAGAAGAAGCGUGCGAUUGGUUGUGCACGUCCAAGCAGUUAGGCUGAUAAGUAGGCAAAUCCGCUUAUCGUGAAGGCUGAGCUGUGAUGGGGAAGCUCCUUAUGGAGCGAAGUCUUUGAUUCCCCGCUGCCAAGAAAAGCUUCUAGCGAGAUAAAAGGUGCCUGUACCGCAAACCGACACAGGUAGGCGAGGAGAGAAUCCUAAGGUGUGCGAGAGAACUCUGGUUAAGGAACUCGGCAAAAUGACCCCGUAACUUCGGGAGAAGGGGUGCUUUCUUAACGGAAAGCCGCAGUGAAUAGGCCCAAGCGACUGUUUAGCAAAAACACAGCUCUCUGCGAAGCCGUAAGGCGAAGUAUAGGGGGUGACACCUGCCCGGUGCUGGAAGGUUAAGGAGAGGGGUUAGCGUAAGCGAAGCUCUGAACUGAAGCCCCAGUAAACGGCGGCCGUAACUAUAACGGUCCUAAGGUAGCGAAAUUCCUUGUCGGGUAAGUUCCGACCCGCACGAAAGGUGUAACGAUUUGGGCACUGUCUCAACCAGAGACUCGGUGAAAUUAUAGUACCUGUGAAGAUGCAGGUUACCCGCGACAGGACGGAAAGACCCCGUGGAGCUUUACUGUAGCCUGAUAUUGAAUUUUGGUACAGUUUGUACAGGAUAGGCGGGAGCCAUUGAAACCGGAGCGCUAGCUUCGGUGGAGGCGCUGGUGGGAUACCGCCCUGACUGUAUUGAAAUUCUAACCUACGGGUCUUAUCGACCCGGGAGACAGUGUCAGGUGGGCAGUUUGACUGGGGCGGUCGCCUCCUAAAGUGUAACGGAGGCGCCCAAAGGUUCCCUCAGAAUGGUUGGAAAUCAUUCGUAGAGUGCAAAGGCAUAAGGGAGCUUGACUGCGAGACCUACAAGUCGAGCAGGGACGAAAGUCGGGCUUAGUGAUCCGGUGGUUCCGCAUGGAAGGGCCAUCGCUCAACGGAUAAAAGCUACCCCGGGGAUAACAGGCUUAUCUCCCCCAAGAGUCCACAUCGACGGGGAGGUUUGGCACCUCGAUGUCGGCUCAUCGCAUCCUGGGGCUGUAGUCGGUCCCAAGGGUUGGGCUGUUCGCCCAUUAAAGCGGUACGCGAGCUGGGUUCAGAACGUCGUGAGACAGUUCGGUCCCUAUCCGUCGUGGGCGUAGGAAAUUUGAGAGGAGCUGUCCUUAGUACGAGAGGACCGGGAUGGACGCACCGCUGGUGUACCAGUUGUUCUGCCAAGGGCAUAGCUGGGUAGCUAUGUGCGGAAGGGAUAAGUGCUGAAAGCAUCUAAGCAUGAAGCCCCCCUCAAGAUGAGAUUUCCCAUAGCGUAAGCUAGUAAGAUCCCUGAAAGAUAAUCAGGUUGAUAGGUUCGAGGUGGAAGCAUGGUGACAUGUGGAGCUGACGAAUACUAAUAGAUCGAGGACUUAACCAUAUAA
RNAcentral lists this ribosomal RNA (2929 nucleotides) under Bacillus cereus. Its description in RNAcentral is "bacterial LSU rRNA". It matches the Rfam family "Bacterial large subunit ribosomal RNA". The record is from RNAcentral. Lineage: Bacteria; Bacillati; Bacillota; Bacilli; Caryophanales; Bacillaceae.